RNAcentral lists this long non-coding RNA (333 nucleotides) under Coffea arabica (coffee). Its description in RNAcentral is "long non-coding RNA (CARA_LNC005552)". Lineage: Eukaryota; Viridiplantae; Streptophyta; Magnoliopsida; Gentianales; Rubiaceae. The record is from RNAcentral.
GGGUUUUUAAUUCAAUUAAAAAAACAGUAGCUUUAUAUUUGUGAAAGAUUAAAGUAUCCAUAAUGAAACGCAUUGCCAGGAAACACGCAUACUAAUCUGCCCCCUAAACCUCCAAUUUUGAUUGUCUUUCCCAUCUAAGUUGGAUGCUUGUUCCACUUCGAGUAUUAGAAGAGAGAUGUGCACUUUUUUUCUUUUUUUUUUCAGUUGGGGGUAUCUGGGAUCACCCGACUAAUCCCACUAACCCCGAGGAGAGCGGGCCCCACCGAUCCUCAGGAAAAUACCCCGAGCUGCCCAAGCUUGGAAUCGAACCCAGGACCGGCGCCUUAACUAAGA